UUCUCUACAAGCAGUCCUUAAUGACUUGCUUGUGCUUUGACAGCUUCUUUCUUUUCAACAAGCAGGGGAAGCAAAAUCAAUGGUCCCGUAAGACAUAGGCUCUGAUACCAAUUGUUGGUGCAAGAGGCAGCAACAAAAGAGAGAACAAGAGCACAGAACAUGAAGUAAGGUGCAAGAAACAUUUUUACUUGCUCACAAAUGUGCAGCAAGGGAGCUAAUGGCUGAUAGCUCAUUCAGCUCAUUCAUUCAACUAGAAAAAACAUACAUUUAUAGUCAAAUACAUCACCAAAUAGUCAACUAACC
Molecule: long non-coding RNA, 303 nt
Filed under: Gossypium barbadense (sea-island cotton)
Lineage: Eukaryota; Viridiplantae; Streptophyta; Magnoliopsida; Malvales; Malvaceae
Description: long non-coding RNA (GBAR_LNC010191)
Source: RNAcentral